This 433-nucleotide ribosomal RNA is filed under the name uncultured bacterium. RNAcentral describes it as "partial 16S ribosomal RNA". It matches the Rfam family "Bacterial small subunit ribosomal RNA", at positions 29 to 507 of the family's 1533-position model. The record is from RNAcentral.
AACGAACGCUGGCGGCAUGCCUAACACAUGCAAGUCGAACGAGACCUUCGGGUCUAGUGGCGCACGGGUGCGUAACGCGUGGGAACCUGCCCUUAGGUUCGGAAUAACUCCCCGAAAGGGGUGCUAAUACCGGAUAAUGUCUUCGGACCAAAGAUUUAUCGCCUUUGGAUGGGCCCGCGUUGGAUUAGCUAGUUGGUAGGGUAAAAGCCUACCAAGGCGACGAUCCAUAGCUGGUCUGAGAGGAUGAUCAGCCACACUGGGACUGAGACACGGCCCAGACUCAUACGGGAGGCAGCAGUGGGGAAUAUUGGACGAUGGGCGAAAGCCUGAUCCAGCAAUGCCGCGUGAGUGAUGAAGGCCUUAGGGUUGUAAAGCUCUUUUACCCGGGAUGAUAAUGACAGUACCGGGAGAAUAAGCCCCGGCUAACUCCGUG